CUGGGGAAAGACAUUAAGUUCGGAGCAGCUCAGGGCUGCGGAUCUAGGCUUUCUCCCUCUGGUUUCCCGACCCACCCAGGUCCAGGCAGCCGAGCAGCGACAGCGGAGCCCAGGCGCGUAGCUCAGGCCCAGCUACCAGUUGCUGACACAGAAGGAAAACCCACUCCUUUGGAGGAGCGCAGCCUUUUCCUCCAUCGCUGUCUGUGGAUGCUGCUGAGGUCCUUGAACCCUGCCCCCUGGACACCAUUGUCAGGAAGACUUUGUGGACGGGACAACCCCCCUGAGAGAGGAGGACCAUCAACUACAGUUUCUAACUAGGUCGCCUUCUCCUUCUCAAGUAAUGGCUGUCAUCAGGGUCAGACUAAAGGCAGCCCAGCUGGACAUCUGCCUGGAGGACUAGCCUAUAAGGGCUGCUAACAAGCCAACAGUGUGCUCAUCCAUCUGUGGAAACAUAAGGAGAGGAAAAUAUAUUUAUCAGCAGUUCUCUCAGGGAAAAUUCUGAGUGGGGCUGGAAGAAAUGGUAUGAAAAUUCCUUAAGGGUGGGGAUCAGGGAGUCAUCAGGAUAUACAGGACUGUAAGGCUGUUUUACUGCAGGGCCACUGUUUCUCUUAGUGGAAAAACACCAUAUAAAUUGAAUGCCCCAGCUAGAUUGUUUGUGACAAUGGAGGGUAGGCUUAAUACCACAGUGGUCCUCCUGCUGGCUUUGUCCCCUUGCAGAGCUCAGCCUGCCCUCUAGUAAAGAUGGAGCAAGUAGUGUUUUGAAGGAGGCACUAGUUUAUUAGCCUACAUGUCUCCUCUGCACUCUAGGGUUUGGAAAUGAAGAUGUAGCAUAGACUGUCUAUCUUCAGGUUCUAGGAUGUCAGCCUUUAAUGUGUCUUCAUUCACUCAGGGUUGAGGGUCAUUACUAACGAGUUAAUCAAGUCAAAUGGAACUUGAAUUCUUUGCCCAUGGAUUGGUGGUCAAACCCCAUCCUGUUUUGAGUUAAUUAGAUCUAUGGAGAUACCAGGUGGAGUUGGGACCCUCAGAAAGAUUUGGCAGAAGAGUGAUAUUGCAGUGUAUUUGUAGAUGAGGGCCUCUUGGAACAUUCUUGCAAUCAUGAGAAAUGGAACUGGAGAUCAUGUUAAUUAAUGCAACAAAUAGUUAAGUACAUUCUGGACAUUGGGAAGACUUGAAGAGCAAGAUAGACAUGGUUUCUACCCUCCUGGAACUUACAUUCUAGUUUUCCCUUAGGUGUGAAGAGCAGUGGCUACAGCAAACAAGUGACCAUAAAGAUAUUCUGGAUCCGGGGAUUCCAACUUACAAGGGCAAUUCCUAUUGCCUUAAUUAUACCUAGUGACCCAUGUUCUACCAGACUGCAUUCGACAAAUGCUCUAUGAACCAGCAUAGACUGUUUUUCCCAGCAAACUAUACAAAAUCCUAUGAUGCCAGGGGAAGGGGUUGGUGUUAGUAGGACUUCUGGCAAUGGAAAUAUUAUGUGACAUGGGUUAGGUAAUAGAAAUGAAUAGAAUUCAGGAACCAGCUGUUGCUCUGUUCUGUGUAGGAAAGCUGAAGCUUGAAGAAUGCUGGAUUGGGAAACUUAGAUUGGCGUUUUAGUCUUUUUUCUAAUAUUAACAAACUAUGUGGCUGUGGGCAAGUCACUUCUCAAUUCAACUUGCAUGCCUCUUGGGUGCUUCCAGGGGCCUUGUCCAGCUCUAAAAAUGUUACGAUCAGGUCCCAGACUACUGGACAGCUGGCUAGUUUCUGACUCUCCUGCUCCUAAGCUGUUAGGUCAAGUUGAUGCCAGUAGCAGUCAUCUGACUGCCAUGUUUUUUUCUUGGUGGCAGUGGGGCUUUUGUCCACCUUGUAGGAUACAAGGAACCUGAUUCUCCCCCUUGGAAUUGGGAAGGUUCUAGCAACAUACCCUGUAGAGUUCAUAAAGGCUUUAUUCCCUCCUUCCUCCCUUCUUCUUUCUCUCCCUUUCUUUCUCUCCUUUCUUUUAUCACGUAUCUACUGAGCAUAUGCCAUGUGGCAUGCAGUAGGGAUGUGCUAGGUUUGGAGAUAAAGGGCAAACCUGAUGCUUUUCUAUCACUCUAGAAGCUUUCACAGGAGAGAGGACAAAACCCUCCCUCUUUUCGUUCACUGGAUUUUCCUUUGGUAAAAAAGCAGUCAUAUCCCAGGGGAGUGUACUGGUGGUAUUCCCAAGGUAACUGAUUACAGAAAGGUGCGUAUUCUGCUCAUGCUGUGGGGUGCCUUGAGAAAUAUAUACAUCCAGGUAUUCGCUAGCCUCAGAGUCACCACGAAAACAUCUAUGUCCAGAUAUAAGGAGGAGACAAUCUUUUCCUUCUUGGCAUAUAUCUGAAGAGGGAUAGUCCUCCAUACAGUGACAGCCAUCCUGUCCUGGUAAGGACAAUCUAGGUGACUACUUCCUAAACUUGAGAAAAAAUGCUUCUCAAUAAAUAGACUUUUAAAAAAAAAUCUAUACUGUACUUCUUAUAUUCCCUAGGUUGGUGGCCUCUUAAAAAAGGAAAAGAAAAACACUAAUCAAACAAAAAGAAGUUAUGAUAAAUUAUAUAUAAGCAAUACUUCUCAUUGUUGUUUCUUUCAUCAUUAGCAAUUCUGUUAUAAAUAUAUUAGAGUCCAGAAAAUAUUUCAUGGAAAAAUAAAUCUAUGGAAUUUCAAAUUCAGAAUUGCUAACAAACUAUUUGGUUUGAGAAUUUUAUCCUGUGACAUAGUUUUAGCGACUUCAAUUUCUGACUUAAAUGGUGGAAUUAAUUAUUCUGGACUCUCAAUUUUGCUUCCCAAUUGAGGUUAACACCAAUACCUUUCCAUAGCCAAGAGCUUUAAUUUUCUCUGUUACCUUCCUUUUUUUGCAGACCUUGAUUAGUGUUUUACUUCCUAUCCUGUCCUGUACUUCCUUUCCUGUCCUUAUUUUCCCUCUCCACUGAAAACAGUGUAAUGUUCACAAGAUGGGAUGGCCGGGGGCUUAGAAGAGAAACAAAGGGCCUGGGUAACAUACAAAAAUGGAAUAUUGAUCCUAGAAUAAUUGACAGCAUAUUCAAGUAUUUUAGUGCAGUGCUACUUCAAUUAAGCAGAAACAGUAUCAGUAAAUCUAUAUGACUCAAUACAUCCCAAUGAAAAGGCGUAACAUUCUGUAAAUCAUCUGAUCUUUCGUAUCUGGAUAUUGGUCAUUGUGAAGACAAAAUGUACAGGUGAUGGACUGGUCUUUUCACUUCUUAUUUGCAUGGUCUGGAGUCUUGUAGUUCUAGCCAUUGACAAUAUGGCAAUUUGUACUUGUUUUCUCUGUCCCUUUUGAGAGAAAACAAAAAUCUUAUUUUUCCAAGCAAUUAAAACUCUUCUGCUUCAGCAAGGAUGAAAGAAUUUGGAGUUCUGUCUCCUUGUAUAUAAUUUCAUGUUUCAUCUUUCUUGUUUUAAUGAUUGACAGAAAACUGAUAAACUGAGACAUCUCUGAAUCACGGUUGAAGGUACUCUCCUGGUGGCCCCAUCACUAAUUUGUUUGACUAUUUUACAGGAUUUCUUUCUCUGUAAUGGAAAGGUUUAUUAAAUAUGAGGGGUGCAAAGCUUUGUGAAUACUAAUGAACUUAUUUGCCAAAAUUUAAAUGUUCUUCUUGUCAGUGAAUGCCUGUCUCACUUAACAGGAUCCAAAUUGAAUAAUGAAGAAAAUUAGACCAUAUUGUACCCUCAAAAGAAAUCAUGUGUGAAUUGUAAUAGAAUAGUGAGGGGAAAGGGGUCACAUUUUAGAAAAAAGUAUAGAUAAUUGGGAUUAUAUAAGAAAGGAUUAACUCGGGGAAACCCAAUUCUUUCCAAAGAGACAUAUUUCAAUCAUUCAAUGAGCAAGACUUCCCAAUGCACAAGUGAUCUAUAUAUUGGCCAGCUUAGAAUGAGAAUAAAGUCAUAAUUAUAUGGAAAUACAUGCUAGGUUUCAGUGGUUACAAUUUCUCAACCUUAUUCCUAUUCAAGACCCUUGUGUGCCUGUGAUAUAAUGAGAUAAACAAUAAUCUUGAAAAACGAAUAUUGUUCUCCAGAGGAAGUACAGUAGGGAGAUAGAGUUUGGGAAGUGGCCCCAACUCGUGCCUUUAAGCAUGGUUUAAAGCUGUCCCUUGGUCAAUAUAUUACCUUCAUUGCCGUGGUUUAUCACUAAUAUAGUUGAUGGUCAUGAUGCUUUGCUUCUGCCAGCAGCAGAGGGCAUUGUGGGAAAAAGAUGGCUGUCUCUUGACCAGGGAGCCAGGCUGAGAGAACAUCAGGAACCACACAAACUGCCAAACGUGGUCAGGGAUGGAAAUGGAGUGCAAGCAUGGAGUAAAAUAAAAUGAUGGAGGGGAAGUGAGGGGAAUAGAAAGGUGAAACUGUGCAAAGAUGGGAAUCAGUCCUGUCAUAAAGUUGGGAAAAGGGGGAGGUGAGUAAGGAUCCUGAAGUAGAAAAAAUAAAGGGAUGAAUGAGUGUCUCCAGUGUUUGUUGAAAUGAAUUCUUUUGAGAUUCCAGGAGGAGGAGGAAAGAAAGAUAAAGAGAGCGGGAAGAAGGCCCUGAAGCUUGUGGUGAUUAGAAAACAAAACAAAAUGAGCACAACCGUAAAGCCAAAAAAAAACUGAAAGUCAUGCUUUUCCAGAAAAAUAGACUGGGUGUUAACAGAAACUUUGAUGACAGCAGGAUUUCUAUAUAUAGGGUUUACUUUCAAUAUCUAAGAGAAAAAGCUUAUAUGACAUAGAUUCAUAAGAUAAAUAUUUUGUCAAACAUAUUAGGUUUUAGUCACAAAAGAGGAGAAGUAUAGUUGACACAUACCAGAUUCACACCAACCAACUAUGUGAGAUUUCAUUUAAGGAUGCUUUUUCUCAUAUUGCACCAAUUAAAUAGAAAAGAAGUAUAGUGUAUUUGAUUGUCUUGGUGGGAAGGCUUGAGAAUUUUAAAACUAGACUUCUUGGAAUGAUAUUUUGAUUUAAAAAUUUAAGUAAGUAAAUAAAUGGAAGGAGAAUUGGGAUAUUAAGAUUCAUUCCCACCAUUUCCAAUCAUGAUCUGCACCUUCAGAAAAACAGAGGAACUUGGGAAAUAGAAAUGAUAGGGGAAAGAAAUGAUGACUCGUGUGGGGACCAGGAAAGGAGAAACGAAUGCCGCAAACUAAAUCAGACCAUACAUUGCAUGAGAAAAUUCAAUGAACAAUAGAGUUUGAAGGAUAAGUGAGUAAUGAAGAAUAUGAGAUAAGAUAUUUUAAAAUAGGGAAUUAGGGAAAGUGAAGAUGAAUAAUUAAUUACAUGGGCGAUGAUGACAGGAGGAGAAAAGGUGAGGGGAGGAGAUAUUUAGGUUGGGAAAACAUAAUGCGACUGAUGGCUGUAAAGAGAAGGGCAAAGUUGAACUCUUGAGGGCAUAUUCCUCAACCUUUGGAGAAUAUGCACAAUCUAGAAAUAGAGGACAAAAAGAUGAAAAGAGUUUAUAGUUAACAUGAAGUUGUGAGGACAAUAGAGGAAACAAUAAACAUCAUUAGUCCUCAGGAAUGAAAGCAUUUCUAAAGAAAUGUAUUAGUCUUUCUUCGUUCAUUUAUGAGUAGGAUAGUCUUCAUCUAUCUUUACAAAAGGUUAAAUUAUAAAAUGAACACUCUAAAAGAAAAGAAAAGCUAAGUAUUGUCAGGGGAAGUUGAAGGAAAGAUUGCAUUUAGAACAAAUGAAGUGGGGAGAAAGCGAGCAUACCUGUUCACAGCCUCUCACAUAAAAUUUUUAAAGUCAGCAUCUUAAAGAAAGAAGUGGAGAUAAUUUAUCAAAAUGGAAAUGUGGGUACUGAUGAGGAAGUUUUAAUGGUUGAAAAUAUAUAGAAUAUAUUCUUCCAUAGCAUUUCUUUUCUUCAUAAAAAUGAGUGAGAUUAAGUUAAAAAGCUGUAGGUGUUGCUUUGAAUGCUUUGGACAAGAGAAGUUAUAGCCAUGAAAAGUAUUUCUAGUUGUAGAAAUAACAUUACUUUUAAAAAAAUAUUAACAUUUGGAGCAAGUCUAAAUGCCUUUCAUGAUCCUUUUUUGCUUUUUUGUAUUUAUGCAGGGGAUUCCUUUCAGCCAGACAGCACCAGACCCCCUUCAGAGGGAAGCUGAUAAAGUAAUUUAGGUGUAAAGUCCUAAUGAGAUAAUGAUGCUAAGGGCAGUUAACAACUAAUAAGAACAUAACCACAAGGGAUGAUAUUGUUGCUUAUUAAUUAUAAUGAUGAUGUGGAGGAAAGAGACAAGGUGGCACUCAUUUAGUAGAGAGCACUCAGGAGCAAGGCUGUUUUCCCAAAGGGGAAGUUGCAGUCAGUUAAGAGUUAGAAGUAGGUCAACAUUUAGCAGAGUUUGAAAUUUAUGGCCAUUGGGUUCCACUGGUGACCACAGAACUGGAGGCCAAGCAGGGGGUAACAGAUGCCUUCCUGGGGGAGGCCUGGGCUGGAGUGGAGACUGCUGUGGUUGCAGAGCCCAGCCUGCAUGGAUUCGGAGACUUGGGGCCAACUUUGGGACAGUCUGCUUGCCUUAUAUUCCACAGUCAUUCGUGGGCAGACAGGCAGGUGCCCAGAAUGGACUGGGUGUGCUUCCAGUUCCGUGACCUUCCCCUCCACUGCAUGCUGUCCAAUGACUCAGGCUUGUAGCCCGGCUAUUCAAGCAGGGUUGGUGCCCUGCCCUGUUGAGGGAGCCCAGGAAAUCCUCUGGUCCUCUUUUCAGAGGCACAUGUGUAGCCUCUGUCUGUCCACUUGCCUUUCAGUUUUCUUGGUGGUAAUAACUUCUCCCGACUCUGCUUCCUGAAUUCACUAUACAUCUGUACACCACCAUAUUAGCUCAGGGCAGGGUAAUUGUAGUACACAUUUAUUGCAGAAAACAUGGAGCUAUUUGGAAACUGUGGCUCAUAGAAGCUUGAACUGCAGGACCAGCCUUGGGAAGUCAUGAGGAAAAUGAAAUUCUCCUCCUUAUUCUCCCACUUACUCCUUACAAUGUGGUUCUCUAUCUGGGUCUGGGAGCUUAGGCUGUCCUCACUCUUUUUGGGUCUUUGGAUGGUUCCUCUGUGAUGAUAGGGGGUGGUUUUCCACACUGUUUUAUGCUCCUAAUUUUAUUAGCCAGAUGUGGGCCAUCUCACAGGAUUUUUCUUGUCCUAUGUCAUGAUUCUUACUGACUCCUACAAUGGAAAGGAAAGAACAUUCUCAUCAUUAUCUUCUUAAAGCAAGCAUAUUUUAGUUUCAUUAAAUGUGUGGUUUGAGAAAGGAAAGAAGUAAAAAGUGCUAGGCUAGAAGAUGGAAGAUGUGGAUCUAGUUCUUACCUUUCUACAUAUCAGCUGUGUAAACUUGGGUAAAUGUCUUACGUUGCUGAACCUUAGUUUUGCCAUUCAAAAAUGAAGAUCUAUUGAGGAUAAACUUUAUGGUUUUAAAGUCAUUUCUAGUUUUAAAAUUCUAUAUUUGUGCAUAAAUGUUCCUAUGGAUCCAAUAUCUAUUAAACCUUUAAGAGAGAAUUAGUUGGUAAACCCAUAUGAUGACAAAUGUUGCCUUAGAUCAUAGUUCAGAGUGGACAGUUAAGGUCAGGGUUACCAAUGAACCAAUGGAAGAACUAUUGGUUGAAUACUAUUUGGCAGACACAUGCAGACCUUAAAGGCAGGUGCUUUACAGGUGAGGAAAAUGAGGCUUUCAAAAGGUUAAUGAAAUUGUUCAAGAUCACAUGAUUAGUAAGGUGUGAGCCAACAUUCAAAGCCCGGUCUCCCUGCAACCAAAUCCCCAUGAUCUUUCCUGCUACUGUGUGCCAUCUGCCACUGUUCAGAACCCAAUACUUAUGUCCCAUAACUUAUGGCACCAGCCAUUGAAAUUCUCAUUGGUUAUUGUGGUUCUCAAAUGGUGAUGGGAGGAAAGAACAAGGUGUGGGUGGCUUGAAACAUCUCCCCAGUUGAUUCUUUUUUAAAAAUUUUUAUUAGAGAAGUUGGAGGUUUGCAGAAAAAUCAUGCAUAAAAUACAGAGUUUCCAUAUACCACCCUAUUCCCCAGUUGAUCCUGAUACGUGCAUCUUUCUGCCCCAACUCCCCUUUGAGAAUAACAUCCCCUGGCCACAGUCACACUAAAACGGUCAUAUAAAAGGUACCUUAUGUGAAAACUUUCUGCCACGCGCAGAUUCUUAUUUAUGUUUCUCACAGCAUGCCUCUUGAAUAGGCAGGGACAUUGGACACAAUUAUUCCUCUUUCUUCCAAAUGGGGAAUUGAAGCAAAGAGAAUUGAAUGAUCCAGUUUCAUGCACUGAGUGGUCACAGAAUCGACAUGGGGCUACACAUCUUAAGCCUCCAGCCGCCACAGGACGUUGUCUUUCUAGCCAAUUUAAUUAAUAGUGCAUUUGAUAAAGAAAUGUGUCACAUAUUUUUCCUCUGUGGUUUCCUGAUAGAUGCAGCAUUUCAGUGCCAUCACGUUAUUCAGAGUGUCUAUAAACCAGCCUCUCUGAAUAGUAUCAACUGCUGUAGCCAUCUACAAAUGUCAACUGGAGGAGCACGGUUUCUUAAACAGGUACUUCUGUUAACAAAAAAUGACUUUCUAGACAUUCGCUGACUGAUCCCAGAAAAAUACUUCUUCAAGGUCAGUGAGAGGGUUUAGGUACCCAAGGCAGAGACUAGGUCUUCGUUGUUCACAUCUUCUAUGAAAGUAAUAAAAACAAUCAAUUCCUUUUUAAAAAUAAGUUUAGCACCUGGAUUUUCAAAGUGCUUUUCAAUAAUUUAUUUUAAAGCCUUAGUGGGGAGGCCCCAGACUUCAGUCUUAAUCCACAGUUCCUUACAAUCUAAUAUGCCUUUUUUUGGUUUUCUUUCUACAUUUUGGUUUCUUCUCUUUUCUCUUGCUGAAUAGAUUCUAAAUUCUAAAUUGCUUAAUAAUGUUACAUGCAGUUAAUCAUGAAAAAUUAGAAAUACCCAGCUACUGGAUUUGCUUAAUACAUCAAGAAACAAGGGAAAACUAUGUUGCCAUUAGAUAGAAUGAGGUGGCUAUAUGUAUGGAAUGAUCUUUAAGAGACAUAGUUAAAUCUUAAAAAGCAAGAUACAGAAUGACAUGUAUGGUAUGCUAACCAUUUGUGUAAAUAAGUAAAUAAAUAAACAGAUACACACACAAACACAUGUUUAUAUCAGUGCCUAGCUGUGAAAGGAUAGGAAACUGGUAAUAGUUGUGGCCUCUGGGGAGAAACUGAUUAGCUGGGGAAUUGGAGGGAGACUCUAUAUAUAACCUAUUGUCCCUUUGUAUAUUGUAUCAUGUUCAUGUAUUACCUAUUCAUAUUUUUUUAUAAAGAAGGAGAUAGAGCAAUUUCUAUUGAGAUGGAAAAAUAUAAAAGACCUAUUGUUAGGUAUAAAAAGCAAGUUUCUGAGUAGUAUAAAUAGUAUAUGAUCCUAUUUUUGUAAAAUAAUUACAUAUACAUAUGUAUGUGUGUAAAUGUGCCUGUGUGUGUGUGUGUGUGUGUGUGUAUACAUAUACACACACAUAUAUAUCUAUAUACCAAGCUGUUAACAAUCAUUUCUCCUAGGAAGUUGGAUGAGAGAGGAAGAGAAUGAGAGAGAGAGGAGAGGGUAUGGAGAAAGGACAGGGAGAGAGAAAAAAUGAAUUUUAAUUUUCUAUUUUUGUACCUCUAUAUUGUCUGAAUAUUUUUUUUAUGCUAAACGCAUACUGUCUCACAAUAAAUAACCCAUCAAAACCAAAUCCAACCAAAGGAUUGCACUUGAUUUCUACACAUCUAUAAACAAAAUUUCUGCAAUCAACCUUUCUGAUAAGCCUUUAUUUUUUUUUAUCUCACAGAUUCACUUCAGAAUGAUGCAGCAAAAAAUCUUUCUCAUUCCUACUUUGAAAACUUCAGCUUGGAUUCAAUGUAACUCUCUUCCUGCUUCAGGAAAAUAUCUCUUCUUUCUGGUUCAUUCCUAUUAGCACACAAAUAUGUUAUAACUCCAAUCUUAAACAACAACAGAAACCAAAAAACCUCCCUUAACUACACACACCCUCCAAAUACCAUCAUUUCUCUGUUCUCCUUUAGAGCAAGUCUCCUUGAAAGAGGUGACUUUACUUUUAUAAAGUUCUUUUAUAAAGUUCUUUACGUUUAUAAAGUUCAUUCUUAAAUCCACUCUUUUCAGGCUUUGGGCAUUACCACUCUUUCCUGUUAAGGUUACUUAAGGUCUUUACCUGCCAAAUUUAAAGGCCAAUAUUUAGUCCUCAUCUUCUCUCUCAGCUCGUUGGUCACAGUUGAUCACUUUCUCCUUCUUGAAAUACAUUGUUCUCUCGUUCUUCUGGAUGCCUUUCUCCCUUGAAUCUCCUCCUACCUCAGAGUCUGCUCUUUCUUAUUUAUCCUCCUGACCUCUCUGUGUUGGCACUACACACAGCUCAGUUCCUGGGCCAUCUGUCUUCUCUGUUUAAGCCCAUUCCCUUGGCAAUUUCAUUGAGCCCUCUGGCUUUAAGUACCAUUUCCAUGCUGAUGUCUUCCAACCUGUCCCUGAGCUAUAAACUCCUUGCCUAUUUUGACACCACUAUUUGACUUCUUAACAGGCAUCUAAAACUUAACAUGCCCAGUUGAUCCACCUGUCCCCACCAUCCUUUCUGUCUCAGAAAAAGGCAACUCCACUGAAGCUCUACUGUCAAAAUAUGUCCCAUAACUGACUACUUUCAAUUCCUUCACCACUAAAGCCCUGAUUUAAGUCAAUAUUGCUCACCUGGAUUAGUACAAUUGCCCCUUAUUGGCUUCCUUGCUCCGCCUUUUUCCCUUGAUGUCUGUUCACUAACACCAGUCAGAGUGAUUCUUUUAAAAAAUAUAAAUUGGAUUAGGUCACUGCUCUGUUCAAAAUCCUCCAAACCUUCCCCAUCUCAGAGUAAAAGCCAAAGUCUUUACCAUGACUGUCAGGGCCUAUAGUGCUUCCUGUGCUUCCCCUACAGUCUCUGAACUCAUUCCCUAUCACUCUCCAUCACUGUUCUCAUACCAUGUUGACCUCCUUGCUGUUUUUCAAAUAUGCUGGACAUCCUCCCACCUCUGCGCCUUUCCACUUGCUGUCUGAAAUGCUGUUUUCUCACAUAGGCAUGUGGCUCGUUCCUCUCCUCAUUCUGCCCCAAUGUUACCUCCUUCCUUAACACCCUAUCUAAAAUAACGCUUGAACUAUAUGCUGUGCCCCUUUACCAUCGUCCGACAUAGUGUAUUUAUUUGACUAUCAUUUGCUUAUUAUUUAUCUAAACUAGAAUAUAAGCUCCAUGAGAACAGGUACUUAGUCUUAUUCACUGCUGUAUCCUCAACAUUUAAAAGAAUGGUUAUUACAGAGGAAGUGCUUGAUAAAUAUUUGCUAAAUGUUGAAUGAAGAAUGUUGAGAGGUUCCCAUAGCUUUCUUUAAUAUAUUCAAAUUACAUGAAGUUGUUCUUAAGACAGUUUACUUAUCCAUCUCAACUUUCUCAUUUCUUUAACAAAUUUUUUAACUUUUUAUUUUGAAAUAAUGAUAAACUCACGAGUAUUCAUAAAAAUAGUAUGGAGAGGUCCCAUGUACCCUUUAGCCAGCUUUCCCCCACAGGUAACAGCUUACAUAACUCUCUUUUCUUUUUAUUGUUUCCCAUGCUUCCAGUUUCUUCUACUUUCUUCUAUAUGCUUUUUUUCCACAGGCUUUCAGGACCCUUUCAACUCUUAUUUCAUAGCCAAACCACUAAUGAACUUCAAAACACUAACAUCAAUUUCCUUCUUGGGGAUGAUUGUCUUACUCAAGGGAAGAAGCAAAUAGUUUAAUUAAAUGGGAGAAAAUGUAUUUUAUCCUAUUAUUCCUACUAACAAAUAAUUCAAAAGAAAAGCAAAGCAAAUCUGUUUCAUAUCUUAACCUACAGAUUCUAUAGAUAUAUACUGUCUCUUCUGUGUGUUGUGUCGACCAGCUUGUUUGCUGCGAUUUCUGAAGUCAGGCAAAUGAUAAUUUGUUACUCUGUUUGUGCAUUCUGGUAUCUCUUGUAUGCAACUGUUUAGGAAGAGUUGAAUAAAAAUCAAUGUAUGAUUUUCUAUA
This is a long non-coding RNA of Choloepus didactylus (southern two-toed sloth), 11949 nucleotides long. RefSeq lists it as uncharacterized. The transcript is spliced from 2 exons. The record is from RefSeq and is a predicted model, not a curated record. NCBI's taxonomy places the organism in Eukaryota, Metazoa, Chordata, Mammalia, Pilosa, Megalonychidae.